GGCGGGCGUUUGCCGCAUUCUGGCCGUAAAGCGUCGCGUACGCGGCUACUUAAGUCAGAUGUGAAAGCCCGGGGCUCACCCCGGAGGGGCCUUUGACACUGGGUUACUUGAAUCCAGGAGAGGAGAAUGGAAUUCCGAGUGUAGAGGUGAAAUUCGUAGAUAUUCGGAAGAACACCAGUGGCGAAGGCGACUCUCUGGACCGGACUGACCCGAAGGGCGAAAGCGUGGGGAGCAACAGGAUUAGAUACCCUGGUAGUCCACGCCGUAAACGAUGAGUGCUAGCUGCCGGGGGCUUCCGCCCUUCUGUGACGAAGCUAACGCAUUAAGUUACUCCGCCUGGGGAGUACGGCCGCAAGGUUAAAACUCCAAGGGAUUGACGGGGGCCUGCACCAGCCGGGGAGCAUGGGGUUAAUUCGAAGCCACCCCCAAAACCUUACCACGUUUGACUUCCUCUCACGAUUCUCAAAAUAUGGGCUUCUUCUUCUCGACUGGAUGACUGGUGGUGCUGCGUGGUUGUCGUCUCCUCUCGUCGAGUGUAUGUUGGGUUCCCCCCGCACCACCGCCUCCUCUCUUUGCUGCAUUAUUUGGUGCUCCUCGUGACUGCCGCCGGUGAUCGCAGGAGGAGGUGUGAUGACGUCCAUCCUCCCCUCCUUACUGGUCUACUACGUGCUGCUUGGUGGUACUACAGCUGCAGAACCUCGGAGGGCUACUUCCUCCACAGUCUCUCUCUCAUAUUGGCUCUGCUCUCUAAUAUGCUGGAUCUCUCUAUCUCGACACUGUCGCGGAAAAAAUCCCCGGCGUUUUGACCCCCCCCGCCCCCAGGUAGUGCAUCCUCGAGGCGUGAAUCUCUUGGGCGCCGCCCAGGGGACUAGAUCGGGAUACCCCCCCCCCCCCCCCCAAAAGCCGGGGGGGGCCAUUGGCGGGAGGGGGGCGGGGGGGGGGCG
This 944-nucleotide ribosomal RNA is filed under the name Sphingomonas sp. sp_31_944. RNAcentral's name for it is "bacterial SSU rRNA". The stretch from base 1 to 771 matches the Rfam family "Bacterial small subunit ribosomal RNA", at positions 533 to 1533 of the family's 1533-position model. The record is from RNAcentral. Lineage: Bacteria; Pseudomonadati; Pseudomonadota; Alphaproteobacteria; Sphingomonadales; Sphingomonadaceae.